UGGGGAAUAUUGCACAAUGGGGGAAAACCCUGAUGCAGCGACGCCGCGUGAGUGAAGAAGUAUUUCGGUAUGUAAAGCUCUAUCAGCAGGGAAGAUGAUGACGGUACCUGAGUAAGAAGCCCCGGCUAACUACGUGCC
This 138-nucleotide ribosomal RNA is filed under the name uncultured bacterium. RNAcentral's name for it is "partial 16S ribosomal RNA". It matches the Rfam family "Bacterial small subunit ribosomal RNA", at positions 355 to 509 of the family's 1533-position model. The record is from RNAcentral.